This 253-nucleotide ribosomal RNA is filed under the name uncultured bacterium. RNAcentral's name for it is "partial 16S ribosomal RNA". It matches the Rfam family "Bacterial small subunit ribosomal RNA", at positions 524 to 776 of the family's 1533-position model. The record is from RNAcentral.
UACAGAGGGUGCGAGCGUUAAUCGGAGUUACUGGGCGUAAAGGGCGCGUAGGCGGUUCUGUAAGUGAGAUGUGAAAUCCCCGGGCUUAACCUGGGAACGGCAUCUUAGACUGCAGGACUGGAGUACUGUAGAGGACAGUGGAAUUUCCGGUGUAGCGGUGAAAUGCGUAGAGAUCGGAAGGAACAUCAGUGGCGAAGGCGACUGUCUGGACAGAUACUGACGCUGAGGCGCGAAAGCGUGGGGAGCAAACAGG